RNAcentral lists this ribosomal RNA (253 nucleotides) under uncultured bacterium. RNAcentral's name for it is "partial 16S ribosomal RNA". It matches the Rfam family "Bacterial small subunit ribosomal RNA", at positions 524 to 776 of the family's 1533-position model. The record is from RNAcentral.
GACGAACCGUGCGAACGUUGUUCGGAAUCACUGGGCGUAAAGGGCUCGUAGGCGGCCAACUAAGUCGGACGUGAAAUCCCCAGGCUCAACCUGGGAACUGCGUCCGAUACUGGAUGGCUUGAAUCCGGGAGAGGGAUGCAGAAUUCCAGGUGUAGCGGUGAAAUGCGUAGAGAUGUGGAGGAACACCGAUGGCGAAGGCAGCCCCCUGGGCUAACACUGACGCUCAUGCACGAAAGCGUGGGGAGCAAACAGG